Molecule: ribosomal RNA, 460 nt
Filed under: uncultured bacterium
Lineage: Bacteria
Description: partial 16S ribosomal RNA
Rfam family: Bacterial small subunit ribosomal RNA
Source: RNAcentral
CCUACGGGAGGCAGCAGUGAGGAAUAUUGGUCAAUGGGCGGAAGCCUGAACCAGCCAAGUCGCGUGAGGGAUUAAGGCCCUGCGGGUCGUAAACCUCUUUUGCCGGGGAGCAGUGGUCCGGACGCGUCCGGACCGGGAGAGUACCCGGAGAAAAAGCAUCGGCUAACUCCGUGCCAGCAGCCGCGGUAAUACGGAGGAUGCGAGCGUUAUCCGGAUUUAUUGGGUUUAAAGGGUGCGUAGGCGGGCAUUUAAGCCGGCGGUCAAAUGUCGGGGCUCAACCCCGGCCUGCCGUCGGAACUGGGUGCCUUGAGUGCAGAAGAGGAGAGUGGAACUCCAUGUGUAGCGGUGAAAUGCGUAGAUAUAUGGAAGAACACCAGUGGCGAAAGCGGCUCUCUGGUCUGUAACUGACGCUGAGGUUCGAAAGCGUGGGUAGCAAACAGGAUUAGAUACCCCAGUAGUC